CGGGGCAUAGCGUAGCUUGGUAGCGCGUCUGGUUUGGGACCAGAAGGUCGCAGGUUCAAAUCCUGCUGCCCCGACCA
This 77-nucleotide transfer RNA is filed under the name Chthonomonas sp. RNAcentral describes it as "tRNA-Pro". It matches the Rfam family "tRNA". From Rfam's summary of the family: Transfer RNA (tRNA) molecules are approximately 80 nucleotides in length. Their secondary structure includes four short double-helical elements and three loops (D, anti-codon, and T loops). Further hydrogen bonds mediate the characteristic L-shaped molecular structure. tRNAs have two regions of fundamental functional importance: the anti-codon, which is responsible for specific mRNA codon recognition, and the 3' end, to which the tRNAs corresponding amino acid is attached (by aminoacyl-tRNA synthetases). tRNAs cope with the degeneracy of the genetic code in two manners: having more than one tRNA (with a specific anti-codon) for a particular amino acid; and 'wobble' base-pairing, i.e. permitting non-standard base-pairing at the 3rd anti-codon position. Lineage: Bacteria; Bacillati; Armatimonadota; Chthonomonadia; Chthonomonadales; Chthonomonadaceae. The record is from RNAcentral.